This is a long non-coding RNA of Beta vulgaris subsp. vulgaris (sugar beet), 813 nucleotides long. RefSeq lists it as uncharacterized. NCBI's taxonomy places the organism in Eukaryota, Viridiplantae, Streptophyta, Magnoliopsida, Caryophyllales, Amaranthaceae. The record is from RefSeq and is a predicted model, not a curated record. The transcript is spliced from 2 exons.
CUUCCUCAGUUGCAUGGAGUGAAACUCUUCCAAAUUUCUAUUACUACUACUGCUUAUCUUUGAUAUAUGAUGAUUUGCAGAUGGAAUUCACUUGUGUUGUGUUCCCCUGCCUUGUGUUAGCUUACAUGGGCCAAGCAACGUACCAGAAGGACUUUUCUGGCCAGUCUUUGUGAUUGUUACACUCGCUGCUGUUAUUGCCAGUCAGGCAUCAUAUCUGCUACCUUUUCAGUCACGAAGCAAGCCAUGGCCCUGUCAUGUUUCUCGAGGCUGAAGAUAAUUCACACCUCGAAGAUAUUUUGCUCUUGAGGCUGACUUGAAUGAUGAACUGGAUAUUGAUAGUGUCUCAGUGAGAUCAAGGGAUGCAGAAGCUACUGAUGAUGUUGGAGAUGAGCUGCGAACUCCAUUGAUGCAUGAUCAACGAUUAGGAGAACCAAAAGCACUGAAAUCAGGAGAACAUGGAGAGUGUAUUGUGGUCAGAGGAUGAUCCUAGCUGGCUAUGCUAAAUUAUUUAAACAAUCAAACACAAGACGAUGGAGAUUGAAGACGACAGUCAAGUUUGAAUUGUAUAUAUUAUUUAAUUAUUUUAGAAUUUUAGUUUUAGUAGCUAGCAUUAGAUUAUAGAAAUUUUAUUUUAAGACAUUAUUAGAAGAAAUUGAUAUUUUGAAUAAAAUUGAUUUUGUAUAUAAAUUAAAUGUAGCAAAUAUUUUUUUGAUAUGAUGAAUAAAGCGAGCAAGAAUUUAUAUUUAAUAAUAUUGUUGUGGCUAUUGAUAAAUUGUUAUACAAACCUGACAAAAAAAAAAAAUAAAAAAUAAA